Molecule: long non-coding RNA, 8840 nt
Organism: Aquila chrysaetos chrysaetos
Lineage: Eukaryota; Metazoa; Chordata; Aves; Accipitriformes; Accipitridae
Exons: 5
Source: RefSeq, a predicted model, not a curated record
GAAAAGUGCCGCGCGCCGCUCCCCCCGGCGCAGAGGCUGCGGGCAGCGGCAGGCAGCGGCAGGCAGCGGCGGGCAGCAGCCAUGUGCCCCGAAGCCCCUGGAGAAGAAGAGGUUGUCUUUUUCCUGUUAAUGCUGUAGACUUCAGGGGUUGGUUGUUAUCUUUGGUUAUCUAGCUGUAUGAGUGGUGUCAAUUCUUCAUAAAGCUAGAUAACCGAAAGUAAAAAUAACCCCAUUACACGCCUGAGGAGGAUGUGGAGAAGAAAGGAAAUUCAUCAAAAGGAAGAGGAGGAAAAGAAAAAAUGAAAUGGAAAAAAAAGGAAGAGAAAAGAAAUGAGAGGCGGAAAAAAAAAAACUGGGGAAAAAAGACAACUUUUUGAGACUGGAAUUAAAACCCGAGCAGCCUGAAGUCCGUCCUGCUGCAGCUCCAGGGAUGCCUUUGACACCAGGGAGGAGUGUGGGUUCACCCUACGUGAUGCUCUGCUCAUUUUCUGACUGGCGAAUUGCAGUUCUUUGGCCCCAGUGAAAGUUCACAGGGAAUUUCCUGAUGGGCUCACUAUAACAUGAACCCAGGAGUGGGGGCUAUAUGCAAAAAAACCCACCCUCCAAAAGCCAUGAGACCCUGGCCAUGCAGAAGCUGCCAGCAGGACCUGUCUUGCGGGACCCUCAGCAGAAGCCCCUCACCACGGCUGAUCCUGUGUGCACCCUCCUCCUCCUCUUCCUCCUCCUGCCAGCAAACCCUGGCCUGGACGUAGAUUGUUAUUUGCACCAGCAUCCACCCAGGCUGCUUGGGGCUGCUGGCCAGCACAGGGCUUCGGCGUGGGGACACCAGCACCAGUUCAGGGACAGAUGGGGCGGAGAAGACACCUAGACGUCCCUGUCCUGCUGUUGCGCAUCACCCCAUGGGCAGCUCACUGGUGAGACCAGGGUGGGAUGUGGGUACCGCUCCGGCGGGUGUGGGGAUGCCUCAUCUGUUGAGGGAUGGGAACUGCAGGUAGACCCUGGGCCGGUGGGCAGCUGGCCUGAGGUGGAGGUGAUAGGCAGGGGGAGAGGGGCUGGGAAGGGACAGUGCAUUUAUUAAUGAGGCACAGCUGAAGCAGGUCUUUUGCCAGUGGUCAACUCUGAAUCACAAACUCCGCAUUGUUUCCGAGUGGAUUCAGCACAUUUCCCUUCUCCCCCUCCCUUCCCCUUUCCUCUCCUCUCACCCUCGCACAAAGAUGUCAUUGUGCCGGGGACUUGGUGAUGGCAGCGUUGUUAUUUGGUCCAAAAAAAAAAAAAACAACCCCAAGAAAAGAAAGAAGUGGAGAGGGGGGGACCCAACAAGGUGAAGAGGUUUAAAUCAGCUUAGCCCAAAUGCCAAUUAAAAACCAAAGAGGAUUAAGCUUGUGAUCAGCAGAAUAGACAGUCAUUGUACCCGGACGAGGGGGUUUCCCUCCCCAGGCCCAACGCAAUCAUGCCACAGGUCUCGCUGCCGAUCAUCACUGCUCUCCUCUCACGGCAGGACAGAGCGGUGCAGGGACUGCCCUUGACCCCCGGGUGCCGGGCUGCCUGCACCUGUCAGAUCUCUUGCCCGUGGCAUGGGGCAGUGAAAGCCCCACGGGUUUCCAGUGCAAAGACCUUUUUCUUGCAUUUUUUAAGUGUAUGCAAGGACUCUUGCCUUGGCUUGAGUUCAGCUGAGCAAGGAGAGAUCUUGAUCUCUCUGCCAAGGGGAAGGUCUUCCCUGAAAUAGGCUCUUGGUCUGAGUGUAUCCCUCAGCCGUGAGCUGGUGGAGGGCCCCUGGGGUGAUGUCCUGUCCAUGUGUCUGGGCAGACACUGUCCCCACCUUGCUAGACCUCCAUGUGCAGCCCUGCUCCAGCAUGCCCAGGCGCUCGUGCUGGCUGAGAGCUCUCACGAACCGCCGGACCGGGCUGUGGGGGCUGUCAGUCAGACCUCUGCUCCCGAAGCAGCCAGCACGUCGCCUUUGAUCCCAGGGCAGUGGCGGAGAAAUGCCAGGAGCAUCACACGGGCUGUCCUCCAGCCAGUGGAGAUCCAGAGAAGACUUUCUACUUCUCUGCACUGUGGCCUAGAGAUGACAUCUUGGUGCUUUCUGUCUGGUUUAGUCCUCCUAUGCCAUCCACCAGCUCACUGCUUGCAUGGUUUGAAGUCUAAUGUAGCCAGAAACCAUGGUCCUUGUAGAAUCCUCACCUGCGGGAGAGGAACCUGGGAUGGGUGAGGUGGGUGUGGGUGCUUGCUUGGACGUCUGCCCAUGUUCAGACUCCCACAGCUCACCCAGCUCUAAGCAUCUCUCCCAGUACACCGGUAAACUGGUAAAACCCCAGGAACAGGAAGAUGCUCUGUACCAACGUGGCUGCUGUUAACAGGGGUCGGAGUCUGCAGCCAUGGUGGUUUCAUUCCUGAUGCUGCCAACAGAGCUGUGAAGGCAAAUCCCCCUGCAGCCAAAAUGGCUACAUGGGUGUAAAAAGUGUGUAGCCAGACCAGGGGUGUCUUUAUACCACACUGGCAACUUAAAAAGGGUCUUUGCUUAGGUAGAAAGUGUAAUUAUAUGCUAACUUUAAGGCUUUUCUGGAAAGGAAAGGUGCCAAGUGUAGGUGGGAGCCAGGCCAAGCUGGGAGACAUUUAAGGCACAUCAGUGACAAAUUCUGGUGGAGCUUCAGCAUCUCCAUGUCUGGGUCUGGGUGGGUUCAGUCUGAGACCCCCUUGUCUUUUAGCCUGAUGCUGUCUGGCAGUUGUGGGUGCAAAAGGACCCCCUGCAUGUCUGUCCUGCUUCUUCUCGGGGUCUCUGUGGGGUGAAUCCUCUCUGCUAAGGGGGACCAUCACGUGGCUGAGGUGGCCCUCGUGCUCAGUGGAUCCUGCUGUACUGCUUUGCACAGAACCCAGGGAUGGCAGCGAUGGAGCCUGCUCCAGCCCCAGCCAUCGCUGGGCAAAAGCUCGUGGGAGAAGCUGAAUGAGACGUUGCUGCUGUCAGCUUUAGAUGCAAAAUGCUCUUGGCCUUGAGCCACAGAGAGGAAAAAGGAGCAAAAGGGCCUUUUCUCUGAAGAGCAGAAGGAGAAACAUCCCAUCUCUGGACCAGGAGCCAUUUCUCCUCGAUCCUGGGCAUGGUUAGCAUCAGCUGAGGGACCACAGUCAUGGUGUGAUGGACAACUCCGGUGCCAAGGUGGUGGAUGCUCAGGCAGCACCACAUGGCAGAAAGCAGUGGAGCAAAGGAGAUGUGCUUUGAGGGAUGGGGAAAGAGUGAAGUCUCAAGAUGUCAUGGGCCAGGAGGUGCAAUGCCACCACCUCUCCCUUGUGCCGCCACCAUCCCUGUGCCCAGGGAUGCCCACUGGCACCCAGCAAGCACGCAGGCUGUGGGAGCGGGGGAGAGGGCAGGAUCCGUCCCCCUUUUGUCGCCGCCGUGUAAUUUAUGAUAUGAGAGAGGGCCAUUGUCUGGACCCAUCCUGUAUUUUUCCGAGGGCUUUGCCUCUCUUCCCAGACCCCCGCUGUGCUCCUGCUACUGUACCGUUGCUAUGGGACGUGCUCCCUGCGCUGCGGCUAUGCGGGGCAGUGCCGGGGAGGGCUGCCCACCGUGGCUGGACCCAUCUGGAGCCCCGAGCCCCACUGCCGGCAACCCAGCCACUCGGCGGCCCCGUUGACGUGCCGAGGGCCUGGGAAUGGGGCUUUCGGCCCCUCCAAGUUCACGGCCACCGGAGGCAUUCAGCUGCCGGAGGGGGGGGGGGGGGGGCAGCGGGAUCUGGGGCGUUUGGCUCCAUUCUCCCUUCCCUUUCAGCGCCAGCAGUGUCCUCGGCGCAUACAGAUCCCCCGUCCCUUUCUCCUCCUGACAAGUGCGCACAUAAAUAAAUUACCCCACCGGGCGAGUGUGGAACAAUCUGUCCCCUAAAUUCUAUUCAUCACCAGACAGGACCCAUUAUUCCCCCGAUUAAAGCCGCUGGAGUAGCUUGCAAGGGUUACAGUUACUCUGUCAAACUGUAAAUAAGACACUAAAAAUAAAGGGCACUGGCGAGAGAAGGGGAAAAGGGAAGCCAGACUAAUGCCUGCUGCUAGGGAAACCGAAUGAAUCCCUAAUGAUGCCUGUGUACAAACUGCAAAUAAUGAAGGAAAAGUGACAAACAGACCUCGGCCAGGCUGUGGCGAGGUCCUCGCUCGAUGGCGGUGGUGGGGACCUGCUUGCCCCUUCCUCUGGGGAGAGCCAACAGGGAGCAGGACCCCUUUCCCAGGCCCCUCCGAGCAGAGCGUUUAAGCCCUUGUGCUUAACUUACAGAAGGGUUUAGGUCUUGCAGAUGUGUUUAUUUUUCAGGCACAGAAAUCGCCUCUGCUUGAGCCUGCAUCCCUUUUUGAGGUUGCACAGGGAAAAUGUCCAUCGCCUGUGGCCUCAGGGCAGCGGGCAAAGAAGCAGCGCCCAAAACUUUGGUUUGUAUUCUGCUGUUAGGAGCACUGCAUGGAGCUCUGAUGUAGGACAGGGCUAGAACCAGGGUGGGGGUUUAAGUCUGUCUGUCUGCCCAGAGCCUGUCCCCCGGGCAGCAAGGAUGCAGCCCGGGCUCCUUCCCACCCGCAGCAGGACAUUGCUCUUGUGGCUGAGACAGAGACCUGGAGCUCAGACCUGGGUCUUCUCCUUCCUCUGCUGCCUGUGAUAGAUUGCAGGGAAUAAUGUCUCCAGCACUAGAAAACCUCCUUGGAUAAAAUCCAAUUCCUUUCUUGCUGCUCUCUUACCAGCCAGCAAAGAUGGGGAUGUUCACCUUGCAGCAGAUCCUUCUUUUCUUCCUUUGAUACUUUAUACCUGAAGAGCUAAGGCAAAAAAUUAUCAGUGAUACGCUCAUCUUGGGUUUUUCUUAGUUCCGGAGGGACUGAGAUGUGAGAGUUUUAUUUCAGGUCCAGCUCAAACUAUUCCCAUCACCUGCAAGGGGCUAAAUGCUGGAAUGCUUGUGUUGCUCAGGGAAAUAUUAUUUUGAUUCAUGUUAUGCAAGCAUGUAAAAAAUAGAGCAAAGAGAGCUCUGAGCUGUGCCUCUCCAGGUGGAUGCUCGCUCUCAAAAGGAGAACCCCAAGCAGAGAAAGUCUUGGUGAAGCCACACAGUAUUUGGGCCACAGAGCAGAUGUGUCACUGGGCUGGAAACUGAGCUUUCAUCCCCCAGGUCUGCGCAGAUCCAACCUCCUGCACAGCCCAGCAGUGCUGGGGUGUCUCUGGGACCUUAUCUGCAAAAAGCACCAAGGAAGAGCAUGAGCCGAGAGCAGGGGGAGCGGUGAGAUGCCAAGCAUGGCACUCACCCGUUCUCCCACCGACAGCAACAUUGCAAGGGUCCUUGUGCAGCUAGAGGGGUUUUUAGAGAUAUGCUCUGGCUUGGGGUUUUCGCAAAGCUCAGACAUCUUGAAAGGGAUUUUUCAGGCUGGCUGAACUUGUGUGGAGCCCAGUUGCAUUUCCCAGUCAGGUCAAACCUGGGCUUAGCAGAUUUCUUCCCUUUCCGUCUUAGGAAAAAAAAAAAAACUCAAACAUUUUCACCCCCAAUUUCUGGCUGUGAAGCCUCAUGACUCCACAGCAGCAUUCCUGGGGCGUUCCCAAUGUGGGGAGGUAUGUGCAGAAUUUCAAACAGUGGCACAUAGCUCCACAUCUCCUGUGCACUCCCCCAGCUGGACUCAGUUAUUUGGGAGAAACUCCAGGAUGGAGCAGCAAGAUUUAUUAUUGCUACUAGUAAUAGUGAUGUCUGUGUAGCACCCAUAGACCCAGGUAGGUGUGUGUAGGUGGUGAUGAAGGAAGAGGUAUCUCUCCUGUCUCUCCCCACCAAAAUUUACCAGCUUAGUUGGAAAAAGAGAGCGAUUUGGAAAAAGUCUCCUGACCAGUCAAUGCUGAGCAAGUCAAACCCAAACCUGGGUUGUCCUGGUGCUCCCCAGCCAUGGAAAUGGGCAGCUCUUCAUGAAACCUGCUCUCUGGAAGUUGCCUUUAGAAGAAUGAUGGGCUUAGAGAGCCUAAUCUCAUCCUGGAAGAGGGUUUUGGUCCCAUGAGCUUCACUCCUUUGGCAGGGAUGGCUUUGCCUGAGGACUCAGGUCCUGGGAGCAGCUUUGGUGUCAGGGAUGCACGGAUGCACUCAAGAGUAUUCAGCUACUCUUGAGAUUGCAUCGAGAAUGGCAAGACUUAAUAAAAAUGAACUUACUUGCCUUUUCCUGUGUGAAUCUCUUGGGUCACAUUUUUCAAGGUUUCUCUCAACCUGUAAAAAUAUGAUUAUUGAUAUUUUUUUCUGACGAAAGCUACGAUUCCCCUCCAUGUUAAUCACUUGGCUCCAGAAACACGAGCUUUAGCAUGGUGUUUAAUGAGACUGGCACUUGUUGGCUCUUGAGCAAAGCAGGUUUGCCCUACAGCCACCUAGAGACAUGAGGAAAAUCAGACAGUCCUCGAUAUUAAAUAUCUUUAUACCAGUUUUGAGAAGAUCCCGUGCCUACUUGUCACUCUUUCUUUUCCUCAAAAUACCUCAAAAAAUUUUUUUUUCUAUCUGUGGAUGUAAUCUAGAUGUGUCCAUAAACCAAAAGUUGGCAGCUCGCUCUUCUCUUACUGGGGCCUUCAAAGAUUCCCCAGCAAGAUCCGAAGGGCUGCUUAAGCGCUUGUGGAGGCCAUGUUUCAGUAACACCACUGCCCGUCCCCUUCCCUUUCUGAGGAUUAGGAUGAGGCAAAUACCUUCACUUUGGUUUAAUUCUAAAUACGUGAUUUUGAAGGUGUUUGCUGGCACGGUGUGCACACAAUGAGCACAUGUUUGCAAUAAUAGCCAGGUAGCUUGCAUGGCUAAAUCACUCUGGAUUUUUUUCUUUCAUUAUAACCUCCUUUUAAAGCACGUUUAAAUGCUUCCCCACAGGCUCAUGCGAGGGCUGUUAAGGGCUUCAUUUGAAUAAAUAAGUGCACAGGUACAGGAGGAACAUCACCAUAACCCCCUGGAAACCCCAGUACCAGCAAUGGCAUCAGAGGACUGGCGAGUGGGAGAAGGGGCUUGAUGUUACAUAUUCCAUAAAGUAGAGUAAUUAAGUAUUACUAGUUUUGAUGACUUCAAACAGAGUGACUCCAGGAAAUAAGCCCCUUCUUUAUAAUUAGUGGGAUUUCCUCUGCAUCAAACGGAGAGAUUGAUUCUUUAAUCUGCUCACAUGCUUUUGAUUUGGUGUUUCAGCUGCUUGUACCAACUGCUUCUACUCCCUGCUCUUGCCGAUAAAACCUUGCAAAGGAGAUUUUAGGAAGGCAUGACCUGAGUUGAGGUCUAGGAUUUUCUUUGUGUGUGGCUGUUUUGUGUAUUUUUAAUUUGCCAUACAUGAUGAUCAUGAUGAUAGCAAUAAUAAAAAAUAACAGAGACACAGAUUUUUAACAUCCAUGUAUGUUUAGGUCAAAUAAUUAGGGUUUGGGGGUUUUUUUUAGUUAUUGUUUUCUCUUCCCAGCACACUUAUUGGCCCUGGUGCAUGCUCUUUAAGUCCUGCAAAGAUCAUUUUGGCUACCUGUCUGCAAGAGCCCUGAGCUGUCCCAAGUGGGGCUUUCUGCAAAAUGUUGCUCUUGUAGGAGAGCACAGACCUAAUGCUGGGGUCUGGCCAGGCUUUCGGCAUUUCGAGGGCUGAGUUAAAAUAAGGACUUGAUUUCUUAAGGACUUGGGAUGUGCAGACGAAAGAGGCCCCUUUUCUGGAGUAUUUCAAGUGUUUGGUCCUGAUUUAGGACUAAACCCAGGACCUUUGGAAGCUCUGUCUGAAAUCCCCCCAAACGUUGCUGCUUUCCAAAUGAAGAGUUCAGGAGGGAGCAGGAACUUCCCCCCCUGCGAGUGCAAGAAGCCGAUUGUGAGCAACCGUCUCCUUCCUGGGCAUGUCUGUGGGGUCAGUGGCACCAUAUUGGUCAUAGGGGAAAUGCAGUCUGGGAACUGUGCUGGUUCCAGGCAUGGACUGAACCUACCCUGUGCUACCCCUGCCUCCAAAAUAGCUCAGAUCUUGAAUCAUUCCAGCAAUACCCUGGCUGGAUUUCUUUCUGGCACAUGAGGUUCUUCUGGGACCGCUGAGGAGUUAAAAAAAGGGGGAAAUUUGGGACUAUGUUGUUUUCCAUCCACUUUUUAGUCCUGUUGGAAUUGUGCAGCGUGGGCAAGAGAAAUGGUCAUGGUCUGCACCUUGACUGCAUGCCAUCAGGUGAAAAUCGGAGGAUGCCGGCUCUGCAGGGAGUUGUUUGGGUAGCCGUAGAGCAGGGACUGGCAUCCCAACCACAACACCCUCCUUUUUGGGACUGGCAUCGCUCUCGGUGCAUCUCAGACACUAAUAGGGUGAGGAGGGCAAGCACGGGGCUGUCCCCACCACGGUUUGGUGGUCACAAGCCUGCAGGGAGGAGCUGUGGGAAGGGGGUCAUGCUUGAGCUCACCUGGAGCCAGGAUCAGGCCCGGGGGUGCAGGGGAUAACUGCAGAGGAGCUGGUUUAGUAUGCCCCUUGCAAGCCUCCCCUCGUCUGGAGCAGUGUCAAACACAGAUCAUAUAAUUAGGGACCCAGUGAAUACGUAACUGUACAAUUAUGCAAAUAGUGAUCAAAAUCACUGUUUUCAGCAGAAAUGCCUGAAGAUCAAGACAGAAGCUUCAUGCAACCUUAAUUUAAUCUGGUCCUGCAGGAGUGGGGAGGUCUGAUGGAUGACCCAACCUCGUGCCUGCCUGUGUUUAGCAAAGCUGGGGUAGGAGUCAGGGGAGAGGAGUGCCAGAGCAUGCUAAGCAAGGGCUCAGCGCGGCCAGCGAGAGGGAAAAAUGGCACUGGGAUCAUGUUAGCAUGUUGGCAAACCAGGAAAAAAAAUAGCAGAAAUGGAGGGGCUGAUGUUUACAGUGAUUUUCUUUUUCUUUUGAUUUCAGGUGAAUAACACAAGGCUGGAA